GGAGGUGGAGGGCUGAAGGAGCAGGUAGCCGGCAGAAGAGAAGUCGAGAUGAGAAAGAUCAGAGUGUUAUUAGAGGGUGGAGAGAGGGAAGGAGAAAGCUGGCUGUGGGAACAGAAGGAAAUGAAGAACAACAAAAUUUAGAUUUGGAACCACGGUGGAUAGGUUCCUGACCAGACGGCUGGCUUGGUCAGCUUUUACCGUUAUUUUCUCUUGAGGGUGAGAUGGGAUGAGGGAUUUUGGAGGAGUAUUUCUCAAUCCACUAUCAAUCUGGGACAGUGUUUCCUAGUCAUGACAUACACAAACACACGCGUGCGCUCACACACACACACACACACACACACACACGACAGCGAUCACUGCUUUGAUGUGUAAAACCCUCAGGACUGAGAAAGAAUGGGAAGUCUUGUCAGUAUAACUUCGGGGUUCAGGGGAAAGAGGAGGGAAACUGUUUGUGUUCCUCUUCUUUUUCCCGUCUUCCCUGCUUUCCAGAAAAGCUAAGCCCGCGAAUGCGGUGCAGAAGCUACCCACAAGCUCUCGUGCAUCGGAGGGCGAGAGAGCACCACCGACUGCCUCCCGCUAACAGUAUGACCCCAGCGAGCCAAGGCCAGCCGCAUGCAGCCUGCUGGUGGUAUGUCAGCUUCUUCGAAAAAGCGGAGAAGUGGAAUCUGCACACCCAGAAACUCUCUUCAGGAGCCUUAGAAGUCCGACUGGGCAUGCUCGGAACUUGGGGGCACCUCGAAUCGAGGCACUUUCCAGCCCCUAACAUCUGCAUGGCUGGGCCAGAUGUGACCGAAGUGGGAGGCGUUGGCGCCCGCUUCUUGGAGCAGGCUCCUGUUCCGGGAAGGGUGGUGGCGACGCCCACAGCAGCCUUCUUCCCGGCUUCCUAGCGAGAGCUAGACCGUGGGAGAUACCAAGUGCCAAGCCAGGGGAGACAGACCAACUGAAAAAAAAAAAAAUCAAGAGUCUUGCGGACUCCCAAGCCCCUUACCCCCCAGCGCCACCCCAGCCAUAGCCAGGUAGGGGGCGUGCAGAGCAGAGAUAGAUCCCUGGUUGUGUUCGUAGGGACCGCUAACCUCUUAGUAAAGAAAUAAUAGCGCGAAGCAUCGAACCGUCUUUGGGCGAAGGACGUUUGCUGAUGCUUUUCUUGAGUAAAGAAAGAAGGGCGUGUAUGAAUGUGUAUGUGUGCACGCGCGUUUUUAAUUUUCCUCCUCAAAAACAGAAAGGAGAGCAUGAAGCUAUUGCCCAGUUGAGAGCCCGCCAGGGGUUGCAAUAAAGCGCGUUUGGAGCAGUGGCUGGCGCUAAUUACCGGGAAGAGUUGCUUUCGGCGCGCACCAAAGCUUCCAGCUGUUCCCCCCUCCCUGGGUGGCAUCAGCUGCCGGAGAAGAAGGCUUCUGGGCUGGAUUGGUCUCUGCGCUUCUGAACCGCGGGACUGGGUUCGGUUUCCCAAAGAGAGGUAGUGUAGGGUGACGCCAGGGGGAGAUCUUGGAACCCGGUGUUCCCAUCUUCCCGGCUUUUGAAACAGGUAUUUGCAGAGAAGGAGCAUUGUCAGCCCAUCACACCACUAAGGGGAGGAAAUACAUGGAACUGAACACUGGGGAGGGGGGGAGGCGGGCAAGAAUCAGAGAAUCAAGAGCACGUUUAUUCCCACCGUCCUUUUUCCAACACUGCCUUCAGCUUCAGGCGGGAAUCAUUCGGAUCCCUGAGGCCUAACACCACCACCCCCAACCCCGUCCCGCCCCACCGCCCUGCCAACAAAGAAACAAAAGAUGACAACCAGACUCUGUAUGGGGCGUAGCAACUGCUUCCUCCGUGGUCUCCCUGUUGGGCUGUUGAAAAAGCAGUGGGGGAAAGGAUGACUAUAAAGCACAUCUUGUCUCCAGUAUGUAAAUGAACCUUCCUAAAACCCACUACCCUCCUUCAAAAUAAAAACAAGAUCUUUAUAUAAUAAAUAUCCAUACUUUUAUAAAUCCUAAAAAAGAAAGAUUUCACAUUAAGAACUGCCCAAACCCUAAACUGUGGAGGGAAAAGACUUUCAGGUUACCUCCUCUAUCCCCACCUCAAAGUUCUAGAAGGAGGUUAAAAAAAAAAAAAAAACAUCUGGCCAGUCCCUUCUUCAACUGGAGAUAUUCUAAGGAAAUUCUGUAACCAUUACUUCAGGAAAGGGUUUCCUACUAAGGAAAAGAAGGUGCUGGCAGAAUGGGACAUAGACAACCCAUGACAGCAAUGGAAAUGUAAUACAGGAUUUAAAACUAUGAUCAUUUCACCUUCAUUCUCUUUGUUACUCUUUGAAGACAUUGGGGAAAUGGACAGUUAAUACCUGGGAUUUCACGAAAGGAGACUCUGCUUCUUUCCUGGCAAUUCAGCAACCUAUUUUUUAAUAGAUAUUCUUUAGUUGUAGAUGGACACAAUACCUUUUAUUUAUUUAUUUUUAUGUGGUGCUGGGGAUCGAACCCAGUACCUCACACAUGCUAGGCAAGUGCUCUACCACUGAGCUACAACUCCUUCCCCAGCAAUCUGUUUUAUCAUUAAAAAAAAAAAAACUUUCCCCUACUGUCUCUUGAUAUUUUCUCUCACAUUCUUUCUCUCAUUUUACUUACUGGUCUCCUAAGUUUCUCUGAUGUCCCUCAUUCACUUGUUCUGUAUUGGUCUCCCUUAAGUUUCUUCAAAACAUUGUUUUCUGUUCCAAUUCUAAAAUACAGAAAGCUGUGUCACAUUCUCCUUUUCCUAAGAAUGGAUUUUCUGUUUCUAGUGAUCCAUAUCCUGCUAUUGUAGGUGGAUUUCCUAAAGCAUUUAUUCAACUUUAGAGAUGUCCCAGACACAUUUCAGCAACAGACAAUUACAGAAUUUUAAGUAGUUUUGCUCAUGGGAUCAAGUAUUUCCAUUUCAAAUAUGGAUAUCAUGAAGAAGCACACUAAAUUGCUAGUUUUGGAAUGGCCAAUGUAAGGGGCAAUGUAAUUAAUUGUAAUGGAGCAUGCAAUCUCUAUAUGACAGUCAUCCAGUUGCCUAUUUUAUAUUAUUUAAAUAAUGUGCUAGGAAUUCACAAGAUAUAUGUCUUUUUGUUAACAAAGACACACAAACACUUGUAUUAUAUACUUUUAUAUGUUUAAUCCCAGAACAGAUGUAAUUACAUAAAUUUAAAUCAGCAAAUGUGGAUUAUCUACUGUAUUCCAGGAAGUGUGCCAGCACUGGGAAUAGGCAAAGAAUCUAAGAGAUGUUCAAUGAUUUGUGAACAGUUCAAUUAUCAACAAAUAUAUAUUGAGAAAUUAUUACUAUGUGCCUAGAACAAUUCAGUCUUAGAGAACAAUAUUUAGAUCUUCUGGCUUUGGGGUUUUUUAAUGUAUUUGUUUAAUCACAUAGGUUGCAUUCUGUGAGAAGAAUGCAUAAUGGAAAUAUCACUUAUUUCAAUCUUGUUUCUAAGUACCCUCAUAAGUAAGAGUGUAAGUACAAUAAUAUUAGAAGACUAAAGUCAAUAACAAUUACAUAAAAAAAUCAAUGUGUACCAUCUGAAAUGAAGUUUUGUUUGGUUGCUUGACUAAUGGAAAGAUGUUUUCAAAGGCAUACUUUCGAUAUGUACUUGUUGUGGCAAGCCAUUAUUUCCUAUUGCAAUUGGUAAUACCAUCCAGAAAUCAUCUACCAGAGAUUAUGAAUGGUUCUGGCACUUUAAAUUUUGGCUACAAUGAUUAGAAGCAGGAAAGGUGGCUUAAUGAUUUUCUAUCCAAACAGCUUCUUCAUAAACAGGUCUCUAAAACUGCAUUCACCAGCUUGCUGCUAGGAAGUGCCCAUAUCCCGCCACUGUGCCCCUCUGGGGAAAGCAGCCACUUUGGAGGAAGCUCACUUGGAUGGGAACAGUUGGUGGCCAGGAUUUUGCAUCCAUCUGUUCACAAUAGAAUCAGAUGACUUAUUUUUUAUACACCCAAAUAAGGCUCAGGAGAACAACUGACAAACCAUUUAAAGUCUUCUCUUUACCUAUUCCUAUUUAGUAUCCAAAUAGACCCUGUGGAGCCUCUUCUCUGGCUAAACUACCAAGGAAAAGCAAAAUACUUUUUGUUCUAAUUUUGGGCUUUAGCAAGUCAUUUUGUAUUCCUUAUAGCAAACCUCGCUUAAAAGAAGUAAGUGUACACUCAUAUAGCAUAUCCUUCAAUGGAAAGGCUCCAUCAGUGCUGCUGUACUUUACACUCAGAAUAAAAUGUAUCCCUAAUACAGAUUAAUCAUAACCUUCAGGAACCAAGGCUUCUCAAUAGGAUGCAGUGGCAAUUCAUUUGUAUUAUUGCUAUAAUUGAUUCAAAUAACUGCCUAAAUGUUAAAUUAUAGACAGUUAAAAGAAAAGUACCUUGGUCUUUAAUUUAUAUAAUAUUCACUUAUAUUUGAUAUUCAUACACAUAAACAAAUAUGGCAAUAACAAUAAUUUGUACCAUCAUAAAGUUAAUAUAGUGUCUUCCCUUGCAGAUCUGAAAGCUGGCUUUAUGCUAGUGUUUGUCUUUUUAUUGAAAAUACUUUUAAGAAUAUUACUUUCUGGCACUUUUUAACUAUCACAGUUGUUGAAAAGGGGAAAAUUGGUUUCAAAAUGUACUAUGAUUUCUGUUUUUGAGAGGUGAAAUUGCACUCCAGAAUAAAGAAUUUGAAAAGAGUAUAGAACAAUUAAGAUUGUUCUGUUGGCAUUUAAAUGCACUUGAACUUCUCUCUAACUUUGUGACCUCAUCAUCAUAACCUUUUAAGUGAAUUAUUAUUAUGAUUGACUUACAGGUAACUAUUACUUUAUACUGCAAUAAUAAGGCAUUUAGUGCUUCUAAAACACAUGUUUAAUAAUGGCCCAAAGAAGACUUUAUAGUCACAUACAUUGACAAUUGCUAUUAGAUGCUAACAAUUAUUAGGAUAGUGUAUCACAGACCUUAUUGGAUUCUAAAAUAAAAUUUAUUUGGAAAUUCAGAACAAGGAUCUCAUCAUUUUCCAUACAACACAUAAAUGUGCAUAAUUUCUUCUCAGAUGAAUAGUCUCCCUAUAUGUCUUAAUUGUCUCAUUCCUACUUUCACUAAGCAAAAUUUUUCAGAACACCUACUAUGUGCAUAUUCAGUACUAUGUAUUGGGAAAGCAGUGGAAAACAAAACACACCUGUUCCUUCUCUUGUGGAGAUUGCAGUCUAUUGGCAGAGGAUAAACAUAACCACUUCUUUAAUCAAAUACAUAGUUCUAAACUGGCGGAUGUUCUGAAGGAACAGAACAAGGUAUCUCCAAGAGAGCAGAGUCGAUUUAAAUUGGGCUUGAGAUGGUUAGGUAGGAUUCCCUGAGACAGUGACUAUUAAUUGGAGGCCUGAAGAAUGUAUAGUAUUUAGCAUUCCAGGCAGAGAAAAGAGAAACAAUGUUAAUUGAUAUGAGAAAUUUCUGGACACAUCAAAGACUACAAGGACAACCUAUGUAUGUAAAGUGUCAUGAGCAUGAGUAGCUCAGUGAAGCAGUGAUGUAGGAUGAGACAAGGACAGGCAGAAAAUUGUUAAAUCAUCCAGAGCCUUAGGGACAUUGAUUAGGAUUUUGGGUUUUACCCUUAGAGACAAUGGAAAGUCAUGGCAUGUGUGAUAUGAUCUGGUGUACAGUUCGAAUAAUUUUUACUCAUGUCAAUCAAAUCCUUAUUACUCAUUAAUUCUCAAUAAACAUUUUCUAUCCUUA
Ictidomys tridecemlineatus (thirteen-lined ground squirrel) is the source of this 5660-nucleotide non-coding RNA. NCBI's taxonomy places the organism in Eukaryota, Metazoa, Chordata, Mammalia, Rodentia, Sciuridae. The record is from RefSeq and is a predicted model, not a curated record.